CAAAACAAAACAAAACAACACACACAACAAGGAUCAAUCACAUGUCGACGCAAGCCGGGCUUCGGGACAGUUUGCUAAGGGGCCGAAAAAGAAGCUAGUGGCUUAUCCGAUCCAGCCGGGGAGCGCGAAGUCAGGAGAAAGCGCCGGGCGGCAGAUCGGCGAAAAAGAGAAGAAGAAGAAGACAAAAAAACAACUUUUUUUUUUUUCAACAAGAUAUUUGUUUCCCCGGAUAUGUCUCCUUUUUCUUCUUCUCCCGGUUCCCUCUGUUAUUCUGUCCUCCGCCUUCGGAGGAAAAGACUCCUUAAGCAGAGAAGUUCAUCAUAGCAAACAAACAAACAAAAAACGACAGAAGCAGUGGAAGCAAAAGUGACCAGUGUUUCAUAUUUUAUGCACCCUUUUUAAAAUAUGUUUUGUGACGAUGACAUCAAGGUAGUAAAAAACCUUCACGGAACAGGAGCCAGUUGCACAGAUGGAUGAGAACAUGGCAGCCAUAAAACCGAGCAUUAAAAACACCAUCCUGUUCCAGGAAGUUCAAAUCAAGCAAGGCUUUCAUUGCUUAAGUUUUGGAGCUACUACAAUUCUGGCUGACUAAUAUAUUUUGCUAAACCUUUCCACCCACAAAAAGUAAAUGUAUGGAUAUUUUCAACCCACAUGAGAAAUGAAAAUGAAGGCGCACAAUUAAUUCUCUGUAUGGUCCCUUCUAUACAAAACUACAUUUGUUUCCUAAUGCUUUGAUAUAUGUCAUGUUUUUGCUUUCUUUUUCAAUGGCAUGAAUGACUAAAUAUAUCUUUUGAAGAAGAAUAAUUCUAUUAUUAACAAAGUAAUGAGUUGGAUAUGACAAAAAAAACUUGCACUUUAUGGCUUGCUAAAACAUACAAUAUCCUUUUCAGAUCAAAUGUAUCAAGUAUACAUGGACAUUAGUGAGAGAUGACAUUCUCUUUACUUUUCUGUGUAGCCAUACAAUGUCUGUCAGUGUAUUUGCAAUUCAACAUAGAGCUGUGCCUAAUGACCUUGUUGUCCAAGAACUGUGUAAAAGUUUUCCUUUUCCUAUGUACAGUAAAGCACUUUCAAGCAGAUUUCCCCACUGGUAGGUUGAUCUGUGCUUGAAAUUUCAACAUUCCACCUGCCCACCCCACCAACAGAGGUGUAAAACCAUAGUG
This 1160-nucleotide long non-coding RNA is filed under the name Laticauda laticaudata (blue-ringed sea krait). RNAcentral's name for it is "lncRNA (ENSLLTG00000001339.1)". The record is from RNAcentral. Lineage: Eukaryota; Metazoa; Chordata; Lepidosauria; Squamata; Elapidae.